UGGGGGAUAUUGCACAAUGGGCGAAAGCCUGAUGCAGCGACGCCGCGUGGGGGAUGAAGGCUUUCGGGUUGUAAACCUCUUUCGCUAUCGAACAAGGUCCGCUUAGGGUGGGUUGAGGGUAGGUGGAGAAGAAGCGCCGGCUAACUACGUGCCAGCAGCCGCGGUAAUACGUAGGGCGCGAGCGUUGUCCGGAAUUAUUGGGCGUAAAGGGCUUGUAGGCGGCUUGUUGCGCCUGCUGUGAAAACGCGGGGCUUAACUUCGGGCGUGCCGUGGGUACGGGCGGGCUUGAGUGUGGUAGGGGGGACUGGAAUUCCAGGUGUAGCGGUGGAAUGCGCAGAUAUCUGGAGGAACACCGAUGGCGAAGGCGGGUCACUGGGCCAUUACUGACGCUGAGGAGCGAAAGCAUGGGUAGCGAACAGG
RNAcentral lists this ribosomal RNA (420 nucleotides) under bacterium. RNAcentral describes it as "partial 16S ribosomal RNA". It matches the Rfam family "Bacterial small subunit ribosomal RNA", at positions 355 to 776 of the family's 1533-position model. The record is from RNAcentral.